This is a long non-coding RNA of Carya illinoinensis, 524 nucleotides long. RefSeq lists it as uncharacterized. NCBI's taxonomy places the organism in Eukaryota, Viridiplantae, Streptophyta, Magnoliopsida, Fagales, Juglandaceae. The transcript has 2 exons. The record is from RefSeq and is a predicted model, not a curated record.
AUCCUGUGCAGCGAGCAACGGAAUUCCAUCUACCCUGACCAUUGAUGGUGACAUAAUUCUUGAGUAUGGAGUCCUCUUCAUCUGUCAUUAAUGGACAUUAGGACCUACCGAAAACUCGAACCUCUCUCUCUCUCCCCCAAAAUUCUUCUCUACAACAAGAAUGGAAGGUAGGAAUGAAUAUAAAAAAGGGUUGUGGACAGAGGAGGAGGCCGGAUUGAAUCUUAAUGGAUUACAUGUCAGGUUUAAAGAGGCGUGGCAAAAGUACUUGCAGAUUAAGGUGGAUAAAUUAUCUAAGUCCUAGUGUAAAGCGGGGUGGUUUUUCAAAGGAGGUAGAAGCUGAGGGAGAAAAAGCUUCGACGGACGGGGGCAGACGGAGGAAAACCACAAUGUGGGGUGACAGAGCGUGGUGGUGUUAACGGACACUACAACAUUUUGUAUCUUCUAGAACAAAAGUUUUCAUCUCAAAAAGAUACUGUCUCAUCUGAUCAAAUGAGUUUUUAAGGAAAAUAAAAAAUAAAAAAGCG